UUCUUUCCUUCUAGCCUUAGGUGGCCUACCAGGCAUGUUUGUGAUUUCUGGUGGCUCAAUAGUGGGGUUUGUAGAAACUAGCCACAUCUCCAUGUUUGUGAGUGGUUCAAUAACAUUGGCAUAAGUCCUCAAGUAAGUUUCCUUACUAUAGCAGUUGUCUAUAUAGUCAUAAAGAGAAAACUUCUUAAAGUAUAAUGCAGCCACAACAUGUGCACAUGGUAUGCCCCUUAACUGCCACACCCUACAACUAUAAG
This 254-nucleotide long non-coding RNA is filed under the name Solanum tuberosum (potato). RNAcentral describes it as "long non-coding RNA (STUB_LNC005923)". Lineage: Eukaryota; Viridiplantae; Streptophyta; Magnoliopsida; Solanales; Solanaceae. The record is from RNAcentral.